GUGAUUCUCUUCACCCCAAAAGCAAGAAGGUCUGCUCUUUUCUGUAGUUAGAGCUAUUUUAAUGAAGUUAAUUUAAGAGGUCAGAAUCCAACUUGUGACUUCUCAGAUUCUUUCAUUUGCAUUACAAAUCAUUUAAGGGAAAAAGGAGCAACUGACUAAAAGAUAUUGGUGAAGGACUAGAGUAAAACAUUAUUAAUGUGAACUGUUAUUUUGGAAAAUCUGAUCAUCUAGACAGAGGUAAUGAAAGCCAUUGGACAAAAUGCUUUGCAAUGGAAAUCAGUAAGAGUUCAUUGGGGAGAUUAAACUAUUCACUGGAACAGAAUUUUUAAUCACUCUCAGUAUCUGAGAAUACCAGUUACAUGAUGCCCAAAUCACAUUAUGAACAACCCCUUCCCGUUUUUCAGGCCAUGAGGAAAAAGAAGUGAUUCUUGAUCAUUUGGUCUUGUGCAUCACUCUGUUGGCUAGCAUAACUAUGUGAAUAGAUGCUGGAAACCAAAUACACAUCUCACGCUUAACAACAAAGAGACUGCUGGUUCAUAUGCAACCCAGCUUCCCUCUCCCUGGUGUGGAAAGGUGCUCACUGAAGUGAAGUCCUCACAGCCAUACCAACAAGCAGUGUUUGACAUGCGGUUGCCUGCAGAAACAGCCAGAUGAAAGCAAGAUUCAUAAAGGAUGUUGUCUAAUUCCUCUGCACCAAUGGAAAAAUGCCCAGCUGACUCCCACAAAGCAUUUUGGAAACUCAUGAUGUAUCGGGAA
This 756-nucleotide long non-coding RNA is filed under the name Macaca mulatta (Rhesus monkey). RNAcentral's name for it is "lncRNA (ENSMMUG00000061104.1)". The record is from RNAcentral. Lineage: Eukaryota; Metazoa; Chordata; Mammalia; Primates; Cercopithecidae.